GAGGAGGAGGAGACAGGAGCUCAGUCUCUUUUCGGCCGGGAAGUUGAAUAGGCCAGAAGAGGGCACCAGACCCCACCACAGAUGGCCGUGAGCCACCACGUGGCCGCGGGGAACCGAACCCAUGACCCUCGGAAGAGCAGGCAACGCCCUCAACCCCCGAGCCAUCUCUCCAGCCCUUAGACAUGUCUGCUCCUGGCAGCACCAAUCUACUUCAGAGAAGAUGAUGGGCACUGAAGAGACUCCACAUGUGUGAUGAGCCCACAAGGAUUAAUACAGUAGAUGUACAGCUGACCAAUAUGUUGGACUACCCACGGAAAGUGUAUACGGACACUCCACCUGGAGUAACCCACUUAGAGAUAUAGGGACACUUGUCCUUUGGAUAAGUCACUGUCAGUUCUGUAGAAAUCUUGUGAAAUCAUGGCUUUUCUCCAUUCUAUAGUAUCCCAGCAGUGUAUAAACCUGACUUUUCCUGUAGAACAACGGGAUACCAACCCCGAAACACACCAUGAAGCCAUGGCAUGAAAAGGAUUCAGUCAAGUCAGUCAAGUCCUUGUUCUCAUAGCCAAAAUCUACAUAAAAAUAGUCCCCCACAAACUUUAUUGAUAGUCACUGAUAAGAAAGGAGCCUCAUACAGGAGGCAAUAUGUCUCUCUACCAGCCGACUCAGGAAGAUGUUAUCUACUGGUCUGCUCUGACUUAACUAGCUACUAAUAUUCUGUAUUACCCUUUACCUUGGUUUCUGCCACGCCAGCACGGCAACUGUCGUUCUUCUGAGCGAAGGACGUCUGGAUUAACACGCAACACAACUUCAGGUUCUGCAGACAAGCCCUUUAUUCCACCUUCUCACAAGUAUAUAUAGCCCUCAGCAGGGGAGGCCAAACCAGCAAAAGCAGGAAGCUCAUCACCAUAACUCAAUGGCUUAGGGGUAAACAUCCUUAGAAACAUUGCUGAAAACAACAGAUUGUUCCUGUU
Molecule: long non-coding RNA, 971 nt
Organism: Arvicola amphibius (Eurasian water vole)
Lineage: Eukaryota; Metazoa; Chordata; Mammalia; Rodentia; Cricetidae
Exons: 3
Source: RefSeq, a predicted model, not a curated record